GUGCCAGCAGCCGCGGUAAUACAGAGGGUGCAAGCGUUAAUCGGAAUUACUGGGCGUAAAGCGAGCGUAGGUGGCUUGAUAAGUCAGGUGUGAAAUCCCCGGGCUUAACCUGGGAACUGCAUCUGAUACUGUUGAGCUAGGGUAGGUGAGAGGAAGGUAGAAUUCCAGGUGUAGCGGUGAAAUGCGUAGAGAUCUGGAGGGAUACCGAUGGCGAAGGCAGCCUUCUGGCAUCAUACUGACACUGAGGCUCGAAAGCGCGGGUAGCAAACAGGAUUAGAUACCCUGGUAGUCCACGCCGUAAACGAUGUCUACUAGUCGUUGGGUCCCUUGAGGACUUAGUGACGCAGCUAACGCAAUAAGUAGACCGCCUGGGGAGUACGGCCGCAAGUUUAAAACUUAAAUGAAUUGACGG
Molecule: ribosomal RNA, 412 nt
Filed under: uncultured bacterium
Lineage: Bacteria
Description: bacterial SSU rRNA
Rfam family: Bacterial small subunit ribosomal RNA
Source: RNAcentral